RNAcentral lists this ribosomal RNA (482 nucleotides) under uncultured bacterium. RNAcentral's name for it is "partial 16S ribosomal RNA". It matches the Rfam family "Bacterial small subunit ribosomal RNA", at positions 29 to 507 of the family's 1533-position model. The record is from RNAcentral.
AUGAACGCUGGCGGCGUGCCUAACACAUGCAAGUCGAACGGAGUCGUUUUGGAAAUCUCUUCGGAGAUGGAAUUCUCGACUUAGUGGCGGACGGGUGAGUAACGCGUGAGCAAUCUGCCUUUAAGAGGGGGAUAACAGUCGGAAAUGGCUGCUAAUACCGCAUAAAGCAUUAAAUUCGCAUGUUUUUGAUGCCAAAGGAGCAAUCCGCUUUUAGAUGAGCUCGCGUCUGAUUAGCUAGUUGGCGGGGUAACGGCCCACCAAGGCGACGAUCAGUAGCCGGACUGAGAGGUUGAACGGCCACAUUGGGACUGAGACACGGCCCAGACUCCUACGGGAGGCAGCAGUGGGGAAUAUUGCGCAAUGGGGGAAACCCUGACGCAGCAACGCCGCGUGAUUGAAGAAGGCCUUCGGGUUGUAAAGAUCUUUAAUCAGGGACGAAACAAAUGACGGUACCUGAAGAAUAAGCUCCGGCUAACUACGUG